This is a non-coding RNA of Pelobates cultripes (western spadefoot toad), 4193 nucleotides long. NCBI's taxonomy places the organism in Eukaryota, Metazoa, Chordata, Amphibia, Anura, Pelobatidae. The record is from the annotation of a GenBank genome assembly.
CAUUUUUGAAACAUUUUAUUGUGAGAGUUACAUAGAAUAAAAAAUAAGAUUAGUUUAUAUAAUGCUACACUUUUUUUUGGCAAAGUGCUGUUUUUUUUCUUCUUAACUGAAACCUUAUAAUUGAUACAUCAAGUUUAAAAAAAAAAACCAAGACAAAACACAAACGGCUUCAUAAAAAGAUGUGGCUCAAGAAGUCAGCUGCCAUUAAUGCAUAGAUGUUUUAGAUUCUUACUGGAAAAAGCUCUUCAAAUCUUCAAGUUCUUAAUAGGCAGAAAAGAAAAAAAUACACACAAAAAAAAAAAGUUUAUCAGAUUUAAUAAAAAUACAAAAAUGCUCACAUACACCGUAUUAUCCACUCAGACUCCGUAAUACAACCUGUCUCAAGCCAACCGUGGAAAGAACAGAGGUAACACACACACACAGCCAGUAACAAUUUGUGUUCUAACAGUCUGUACCAAAAAAUUUUAAAAGUAGUACUGUAACAGCACAAUUAGACAUUAAUUUAUAGGUCGGAGAGAAGGGACAAUUCAUACACAUUUUUUAAAAAUUGCAAUAUACAAGAUGAUUUAUCAAAGGUGAAAAAAAGUGCCAUUUUAGGUGAGAUUUCUAAACACUGAGGAACAUUCAACUGGUUACCAGGGUAAUUGCUCCAUAAUGUGCAAAUUGAGCAAGAAAAGUUUGUGUUGCUUGGCCAUAUCUUCUCCAUAACGCCACUGAAAGCACUCUGGUGUUUUAUCAAGUUUUGUCUUCUCACCAAGUAUUUAAGAAAAAUAAACAUUGAAUCAAACUGCUCAAGAAACUUGACUCAGGGGAAAUCGGGGACCAUCUUUGGCAAACAAGCCUCAAAUCUUUGGGGUGGGGUUACUGAUCUAAAUGGUCUACUGGUUGAUAGGGACAAACUCACUUUUGUCUUUGCCAUUAACAGCUUUUCUUAGUACCUACCAGAGGUGGUGCCAACCAGCCUGCCACAUUCUACUCUUGUUGAACAAAAAGGCUAAACAAUAUAGCCUUAUGAGUUUAACAAAACUAACUAAAUACUUUGAAUGUAAAAUUAUACUUCAAAAUGUUUUCAAUGGUUGGGCAGAAGUAGUUACUCUGCUAUGAGUUGGUAUUAAUAGCAAACCACAACUUUAAAAAAAAAAGAUAUUGCAACCAAAUAUAGUAGACAUUAAAAAGAUCACAAAACAAAUUAAAGCCAAGUGUGUAUAUGUAUGGAUUACAACCAUGGUAAUCAGCUGUUCCUUUUUAUAUUUUGUAAAACUAUACAGUUCUUCUAGGCUAGAAAGAAGGUUAAACUAGGCCCCUUAUUUUUAUGGUCCCAUUUACCCAUUUGAUGUUUGCUUACAAGUUUUGCCUAGACAUUGUACAGCGCAAUAAACAAAACAAUGGGCAUCUAGUGUAUGUUUGGGUGCUCUAAACGUUUGGAAAGGAAAAACUCCAAGAAUUAAAUCUCACAUUUUAAACAAAAAAAAACAAAAAAACAGGGAGGCAUGGCAAUCCAUUUGAUUAAGGAUGUAUAUAAUGCUAAUAUUACCCAUAUUCAUAAAUUUCAGAUUCAAGAAAUCAAACCUGGUUUAGGAUAGAAUCAUUUAGAAUAAAUGAAAAAGAUUUAGCCCUCCUGAUCUGGGAUGAUUUUACUAAUUUCAAUUCCCACUUAAUGCAACUUAAUUCAAGCAUUGUAACCCAUCUAGAAGAAUGGCAAUUAAAAAAAAAAUUCGAAGGAGCAAACAUUCGACUCCUCAAAAGUUAUGCAUUAGCACCUGGAGAGCUCAUAAUGAAAUUAUCGAAGAUCUCCUUCAGAAUUCUAAUUUGUGUUCAUUUAAUUUAAAAUUGAAAUUUGACAUCUCCGAUAAAGAAAUAUUCACCUACUUAAGAGUUAGAGGAUUUCUGAAUUAAUUUCUUUUAAAAACUGAAGGAGAUAAGAAUAAAAAAAAAAAAAUUCUUAAUCAGUUAAGCUCUAUCACUAUCGAUUUAAUUAGACAAUCAUAUUCAAAUAUACAACCUUCAGCUAAAAAAACUGUUGGAAAAAGAUUUUAACCAUAAAAUCUGAGACAAGGAAUGGUGUUCCCCUUGAGAGUACUUAAAAAAAGCAUAUAAACUGCCUUAAUAUUAUCAAAACAUUCUUCAAAGUACUUCAUAGAUGGUACUUUGUUCCAACCAGGCUGGCCAAUAUAUCUUUGUCUAACUAUCCACUUUGUUGGAGAUGUCUAGCUCAGGAAGGAACUAUGUUACAUAUUUGGUGGAAUUGCCCAAAAAUAAAUUACCUUUUGGGAUUCGAUAUAUCUUAUCGUGUCUCUCUUCAAUAUUAAUCUAAAGAAAUCUCCAGAAAUAGGCCUGCUCCACCUAAAUUGGGGUAAACACCCCAAAAUCAAAUACUGACCUUACAUUCUCUUAUGUCUGCGAAAAUAGUAAAUCCAAGAUCAUGGAAAUAAAUAUCAACUCCAGAUAUCUCCCAGUACAAAAACCAACUUAUAUUAAUCCACUGUUCAUAAGGAGAUAGUCUAAUAACUUCCUCACUUUACUAAAUGGUUAAACUUAUUUAUACCCUUCCUAAACGAGUAAUAUACGAAACAAUAAUGUAUUUCGUUUUUGUAAUGUAUUGUAUGUAUAUAAAAAGCUUGUUACUUAAUCGUAACAAUGUUUGUAUAAUUGUAUGUAUAAUUUUAAAAAAUUUCAAUAAAAAUGUAUCUAAACGUUUUGUAAUAUUUUUUUGUUAAAUGUAUGGUUAUUUACAUAUUUAUCUUUAAUGGAAGAAAAAAAAAAAACCCACAGCACCAAUCACAAUCACCUCCACCAAGUAUGACAUAUACGAUUUGUCCACACAAUAAGGAUCUUUCUUAUAGUGCUCUCAGUAACAUUAUAUAGGUAGUCCAUUGAUCAGAGGCACAGUUUCAAGUAGAGGCAUUAGUGUAACAAGUAAACACCCAUUUCCCUGACAGUAACCUGAACCCAUCAUAGUCCUAUCUGUGAUCGUCUGUGGCAUUUAGGAUGCCACACAUGCAAUUACAAGGUAUAUAUGCUUGGGCUAUAUGUUUCCCAAAAACUGAUGACAUAUCAAAAGCACUCUAUAUAAUAAAUAAUUUUAUAAUGCAGUAUACACACACACACACACACAAAUAUAUCAGUCUUUAAAUGGAACUCUUGCAGAUACAUGGUUAACACCAAAGUUACAGAUAACUGGAAAAGUUUAGUCUUGCAGAGUUUUUCACCAAUGCAAAAAUUACAAGUGAAUUUCUAGUUUAAUGUUAAAAUAGACCGACAGAAAAAAAAAAAAAAAGCCCUAAAUACUUUAACUGCCCUCACCUUAAAAACAAGUUAACAAAAUUAACAGGGUUGUCCACUAAGACAGAAGCAAAAAGAUGAAGAUGAAAGUAGCCCGCUUGAUGCUUUACCAUUGUCCAACUAGAUGGUGUGGAUGUACCCAGCUUUACAAAUCUCCAGACUGACAGCCAAAACCGCCAAAAUCAGCUGUAGCCAAGUGCACCAACCUAGCUAUGCUGCAUUUAUUUUAAUUAGUAUGGCUCAUGAUCUUGCCAUACUAUGCAUUUUUAAAUGAACAUUAUAGCCCCCCUCACCCUAUUAAUGUUUCCUUUGCCUAAAGGUUGCAAUACAAAGCCAGGGGUUCACCACUUAGUGUGUGAAGUGGGGGGGGGGGGGGCAGGGAAAGGGACGUUUUUAAAUAUAAAAUAAAAAUGGGUUAACACUCCAUCUAUAUAUUAAAAAUAAAUAAAAGAGCCACACAGUUUGCAGAUUAUGAAAAUUGUUUAAAAACACCUGGGGUGCCAGAGUUAGCCCUUCUUGUAAACAAGUUCUUUAUCCCACAAAAGUCACACAUUAUUGGUCCUCAAUGGGUUAAGGCACAAUCCAUUCGAAGCUGCUGCAGGGCAGAAAUGGCAUGUGUCAAGUUUUUCCUGCAAGUCAGACUUAGAUCCCCAAGCAGAGAGGGGAAGGUUUACAACAUCUUGCAUGUUUAGAUGACAUCCUAUUCAUUUCAUGUGUGGAGUCUCUGUAUGACCCAGACAGCUGUCAGGAUUUCCCGCUCUGCAAGGCCAGCCACCUAGGAUGCUCCAUUCAUUAACAAAACUGGAGAGAGUUGGAGUUUAUAGACAGUUGGCAGGUGCCAUAAACAACUGUGCACUAAACGAGAUAAUUAAUUAAUCACAUCUUAAACAAUAUCUUUCUCAGGGAGAAGA